Molecule: long non-coding RNA, 4122 nt
Filed under: Homo sapiens (human)
Lineage: Eukaryota; Metazoa; Chordata; Mammalia; Primates; Hominidae
Description: HSALNT0315646
Source: RNAcentral
GACCUGGGGUCCCUGCUUCUCCAGGUGCUCCCGGAUUUUGCUCUCUAGCCUCCGGUUCUCGGUCUCCAGGCUCCUCACUCUGUCCAGAUGUGGGCCACCAGCCUUAAGCCAGAGGGAGCUUUGUAAGACAGGAACAUAUAAAAUGAUAAAAGCUUCUCUACGUACAGUUUUCCUGACUCUGAUUCUGCGUGGGACAACCAGUGAAAAUUGCAGGUGAAGAGAAGAAAUGCGUAUUUAUUCCUCCACUGGGAAAAAAAAUACCAUCCAAAGCUACAUGACUUGAGAGACAAGGUCUCACUAUGUUGCCCAGGCUGGCCUCGAACUCCCGGGCUUCAGCAGUCCUCCCGCCUCACCCUCCGAUGUAGCUAGGACUACAGGACCGCGACCCGGCGCUGCCUAAGAACUGUUUUUAAACGUGAAAGCCACGGCUAUCAUUUGCUUUUUGCUCUGCUCUUCAUCUUCUGGAUAAACCUCGUAACACACUGCUUGUUUUGGGUGGUAGUCUGCUGCCUACGCCCCGUCAGACAAGUGGCCUGAGUCCCCCGCAACCCCUGCAGGUCCGGCCGCCGGCGCCAAGCCUCAAGGCAUCCAAGCCAGGAACGAUCGCGGUCAGCUCUGCCACGGAACAUGUGCAAGACCCGGCAGCAGGUUCCGGGGGAGGCGAAUUGAUUUCACAACGGUCGAGAAGGAGGACCCCGCCCACUUCGUCAUUUCUCGGAAGCCCAGGGACUCGCCGGAAGAGCGGCUCAAAAGCCGGAAAACUGGCAAAUCCGAGUCUCCCGGCGCAUGCGCGGCGCAAUCGGCUUCGCGUGGUUGCAGUAGAGAGGAUCCCUCCGCCAGCCACUGCAUCCGGCGGCCGGAUCUAACUUACCCGCUAGCGUUUUACCCUUGCGCGGCCGUGGCGUAGGGCGGUCUUUUCCCUUGGUCCUCCGCGGCGCCGCCUCUUGUGACGUAAGCCGCAGAAUCCUCUGUCUUAGUUCGGCUCUAUUGCCGCGAGCUUGACUCUUCCUGGGUCUGAGGAAAAGUAAAAGUAAUUUUGUCAUUUCCUGAAACUUCAAGUUAAACCUUUAAGCUGUUCAUUUCCUAAAAGGGUGAAAACGCGGGCACCCCUCGAGCUAGUUCAUCGCCUUUUAACCUAAAAAAAGUAUACUCAUGAGCAAGAAAGAAAACAAACAACAAACAAAAUGAAGUAGGAAACUCAAUGUUAACAGCUUAACACAGAAAGCCACUACAACAAUGAACAAAAAUUGCAAGUUAAUGAUAAAGUAAUGUAGAAACAAAAUUACAGACUACUAAAAACAUGGGAUUGCCAGUUGUUCAGAAAUUCCACAGAUGGAUCGUGAGUGGUUGUUGGAUCUUUCCAGAUCACCACACCACAUCACCCAGCCACUCUGCCCAAUGGGAGGGCAGACAGUGUUCCAGUGUAGGAGGAAGGGGUGUAAGGUGCGGGCAGUUUGUGAGGAGGGCACCAACGAGAGCUACUGUGAGAAAGUCUGCAUGGUCAAAAAGUGGAUUACCAAGAACAAAGCAUCAUAAUGUUGUCCAGUGGACCCCAGGUUGAAAAGUCAGGUUCUGGAAUUGGCUGUCUGGAUUAAAAUACUGGUUCCAUCACUGAGAAGCUGUGUGACCUUGCGAAAAUUACUUAAUCUCUUUGUGUUUCAGUUUUCUGAUCUGUAAAAUGAAGUCAAUAAUGCCCCUUUUCUGAGGCCUCCCUUGGCCAGAUAUGAUUAAAUAUUUAUCAAACUAAGGACUCAGCUUACUUGGAGUGAAAACUCUUCAGGGCCUCUCAGAGAUACCUAAGAUAAGUACCUUAUUUUAGUAGCUCUCAAAUAAAGCUUCUUUUAUGCUCUGUCUUUUUCAUAUAUAAAAUAAGGUCUAAUUAGAAAGUUUUAUAAUGGAGGCAGUCAAUUCCCCAAUUCCUUAUUUGUUUGAAUUAACUUUUAAAAAAUUGGGGUGUUCACUCUGGCGUUGGCUCAAUCCAGACUCUGUAAUCAGCCAACAAUCUGUGCUUCACAAAGGCUGGCGUCCUAACUGCCAGCUUCUGCCAUCCGCACCUUUUCCGUGGGGUAAUACAUUUUAAUUGGUACUUCUCUGAGAGCCCUACACAUCUCCAUCUGGCCAAAUAAACAUACUUUUACUAUUCAGCCUCAACAUCUUGGCAGUUAACAAGAGGACAGACUUGCCACAAUGGGUAAUCUUUAAGAUGCAUAAAAUCCUAAAAUUAAAGGACCAGGUACAGGUGGUAUAAUCAAUGGCUGCCUAGAAGAUGGCUCAUCUACAAAGUGGCUUUGUGUUCCACAGUCUUUUUAACACUGCUCUUGUGAUCCUAAAUGCAGUUCCUGAGCCGAGUCAGCAUUGAGAGCUCUCUCCUCUCAAAGGGCACAUUAGUGAUGAAAUAUUUCACUUCCAAUGACAGCAUAACUUUUUGGAUAUAGGCUUAUUAGCAACGUGUUUCCACUGGUUGGAUUGAGCAAGUGUAACCAGAAGGCAGAAUGGUGAAAUGGUUAAGAGCAUGGGUUCUAGAGUCAGGCUGCGUUCAAAUUCUGCUGCUGUUAAUUUAUCUUUGUGACCUUGGGCAGUUACCAUACCUCUCUGUGCCUCAGUUUCCUCAUCAGUAAAGCAGAGAUAAUGUCAGUAUUUUCCUCAUAAGAGUAUUGCAAGGACUGAUUAAAUGAGAUAAGGUGUCUGAUAUGUUUAGCACAGGGCAUGACUUGUAUUUGCUAACAAUUAUUUUUAGGCAAGGUCAGUAGACCAAAUAACUUGAGCAGCAGAAAGGAAGUGGAAGGCGAAUAACCAGCUAUGAGGUUAUUUCUCAGAUAAUUUCUUCCUAUUUCAAUGCUUCACUUUUUACAGUUUAAUCAUCAAGCAACAGUGUUAGGGAUUACGUGAGAUAAUAUGGUCUGUGUGCUGAUUCACUCAUUUAGUGUGGUCUCAUUUCCUUAAAGAACACAUCUUGAGAGAACACUUUUUUUCUCUCUAACCCUCAGGGUCAUCUGGAUGAAAUGAAUACUUUUAGGGCAAAAUGGCUGAUACUGCUUCCUUGAUAACCACAUAUAGAAAACUGACAACUGUUUAGAACAAAGCCAAAGAUGAAACCAAAUAUAAAACCACUGAUGAAAACUAAGUGAAAAAUAUAAGCAAAAUAGAAGAAAAAUAAGGUCGUUAUUUCAAGAAAACGAAAGACAGUCAAUGCUGUUCUUUGUAUUCACAUACAAUUUGGUUCACACCAAAAUGUGAGUUGUUCUCUAUGAGAUGUUAUUAAAUGUUCCUAAGAAGACUCGCUUUAGAAAAAAACAGUAUUCCUAAGGCAUGUCCAAUCUGUCUCUUUUCUUAAUUGCUAUAGUUCUACUUUAUUAUUAUAAUGUAUUCAGCAUUAAAAUUCAUUAUUUCCCAAUAAGCUUGACUUUAUCUUAUAAUGAAAUACAACUGUCUUCUUGGUGAUUUUUAUAGGAGAUAUUAUGGAAAUAUUUUAUUAACAGAAGUAAAUAAAGUGUCAUAUCAUUUGGCUUUUCAGCCGUGUUAUAACAUUUGCAUUUUGUUUUUUCUGCCUUUACCCUCCCUGCUUCUAGCUGCAUAAAAUAAUGCAUUUUAAAAAUAAAAAUACAUUAUUUUUCAACAUAUGUGUGACAAUAAAAAGAUCACUGGGUCAGGGGUCAGACGAUCUGAGUUCUGCCCUUUCAUUUUCUUAUCUGUAAAAAUGAUUCCUAAGAUUCCUUCUAUUACUAACAUUUUAUAAUCUACAUUCAAAUUUUAUGUGAAAGUUUAGUGCAUCCGAGAUAACUAUUUUCAAAUAAGAAUCUCUUUUGAUGCUAACAUCUAUGCAUCAAAUUCUUCAUUCUCAAGUUGUAAGUUGCUCUUUACAUAAUUUCACCUAUGUACAUAUAUUCUAUAGAAAAAAGAGACAUUCCAGUAUCUUAACAAUGUCAAAAAGGAUAUACUGACACUAACAUUAACUGGAGAUUGGAAGACUAGACAAAUCAAGGCUAGAACUACAUAAGGGAAGCUAUUCUCCCAAAUACGCUGUUUUUGCUGUUGUUUAACCAAAGAUAUCUUCCCUUUCAUUCUUCUUUUUUAAAGCUAAGGAUAUUUAAGACAUUAAUAUGUUUGGCUAACUGAUUAAUA